CCUACGGGUGGCAGCAGUGGGGACUAUUGGACAAUGGGGAGAACCCUGAUCCAGCGACGCCGCGUGAGUGAAGAAGUAUUUCGGUAUGUACAGCUCUAUCAGCAGGGAAGAACGAAAUGACGGUACCUGACUAAGCAGCCCCGACUAACUACGUGCCAGCAGCCGCGUUAAUACGUAGGGGGCAAGCGUUAUCCGGAUGUACUGGGUGUACAGGGCGCGUAGACGGCGCUGCAAGUCUGAAGUGAAAGGCGGUGGCCCAACCCCCGGACUGCUUUGGCAACUGGAAGGCUGGAGUGCAGUGGAGGGAAGUGGAAUGCCAAGUGUAGAGGUGAAAUGCGUAGAUAUUAGGAGGAACACCAGUGGCGAAGGCGGCUUACUGGACUGUAACUGACGUUGAGGCUCGAAAGCGUGGGGAGCAAACAGGAUUAGAGACCCUUGUAGUC
Molecule: ribosomal RNA, 443 nt
Filed under: uncultured bacterium
Lineage: Bacteria
Description: partial 16S ribosomal RNA
Rfam family: Bacterial small subunit ribosomal RNA
Source: RNAcentral